UACGUAGGGAGCGAGCGUUGUCCGGAAUUACUGGGUGUAAAGGGAGCGUAGGCGGGCGAGAAAGUUGAAUGUUAAAUCUACCGGCUUAACUGGUAGCUGCGUUCAAAACCUCUUGUCUUGAGUGAAGUAGAGGCAGGCGGAAUUCCUAGUGUAGCGGUGAAAUGCGUAGAUAUUAGGAGGAACACCAGUGGCGAAGGCGGCCUGCUGGGCUUUAACUGACGCUGAGGCUCGAAAGCGUGGGGAGCAAACAGG
This 252-nucleotide ribosomal RNA is filed under the name uncultured bacterium. Its description in RNAcentral is "partial 16S ribosomal RNA". It matches the Rfam family "Bacterial small subunit ribosomal RNA", at positions 524 to 776 of the family's 1533-position model. The record is from RNAcentral.